Non-coding RNA from Podarcis lilfordi (Lilford's wall lizard), 73 nucleotides. NCBI's taxonomy places the organism in Eukaryota, Metazoa, Chordata, Lepidosauria, Squamata, Lacertidae. The record is from the annotation of a GenBank genome assembly.
GUAUUGCUCAAUAGGCAGAGUAUGAAACUCUUAAUCUCAAAGUCAUGGGUUUGAGCCCCACGUUGGUGCAACG